UGCCCCAUGGCUAAGUUGGUUAAAGCGUCCGACUGUUAUCACGUGAUUAAUCGGAAGGUCGUGAGUUCGAGCCUCACUGGGGCAG
Molecule: non-coding RNA, 85 nt
Organism: Cytidiella melzeri
Lineage: Eukaryota; Fungi; Basidiomycota; Agaricomycetes; Polyporales; Irpicaceae
Source: the annotation of a GenBank genome assembly